UACGUAGGGACCAAGCGUUGUUCGGAUUUACUGGGCGUAAAGGGCGCGUAGGCGGCAAUUCAAGUCAUCUGUGAAAAUCUCCGGGCUUAACCCGGAACGGUCAGGUGAUACUGUUUUGCUAGAGUGCGGAAGGGGCAAUCGGAAUUCUCGGUGUAGCGGUGAAAUGCGUAGAUAUCGAGAGGAACACCAGAGGUGAAGACGGGUUGCUGGGCCGACACUGACGCUGACAGCGCGAAAGCCAGGGGAGCAAACGGG
RNAcentral lists this ribosomal RNA (255 nucleotides) under uncultured bacterium. RNAcentral describes it as "partial 16S ribosomal RNA". It matches the Rfam family "Bacterial small subunit ribosomal RNA", at positions 524 to 776 of the family's 1533-position model. The record is from RNAcentral.